RNAcentral lists this long non-coding RNA (3046 nucleotides) under Ananas comosus (pineapple). RNAcentral describes it as "long non-coding RNA (ACOM_LNC020472)". The record is from RNAcentral. Lineage: Eukaryota; Viridiplantae; Streptophyta; Magnoliopsida; Poales; Bromeliaceae.
AUACUCUUCGUCUUUUUCUUUUUUUUUUUCUUAUCUUACACUUUACAACAAAAUACAAUAACCAAGUUUAACACUCUUGUUAAUACCGACCGUCCCUAGUACAAAUGGUAAAAGACUUAUGGUUAAUAUUCGAGAUCUCAAGUUCGAAUUUUAUCCAUCGGCUCGGUGAUUGGUAUUUGAGAUUCGAAGUUUGANUAGGGCUAGAAUACUUUUACAAGUAUCACCCAAGUGAUACUUGUGUGUUUUUAGCCCUUGGAUGGAGAGAUGUGAGGUUGAGAUGAUGGUGGUAGGUGGUGGUAGGUGGAAUAGUAUUUGAUCCAAGGGCUAUGUGUAAUCAAAAAGUAAAUCCAAUGGCUAAAAACGUGAUAGCAACAUGGGGAUGAUACUUGUAAAAGUAUCCUAGAUCAACUCUAUAAAUAUAUAUAUAUAUAUAUAUAUAUAUAUAUAUAUAUAUAUAUAUAUGAGUCCGGCUAGGGUACUAUCGAUAGCACUAAGGAUUUGGUGCUAUCGAGUUUUUCACUGUUAAAUUUAACCCUUUGAGUAUUUUUACCCGUUAGAGUAUACUAUUUAACCAACCACUUACUCAACCCUAGAGGGCCCACAUCAUCAUAACCGCACAUUUCUCAAUCCAGGGGCUAAAAAAUUAAUAGCACCAAUAACUUGGUACUAUUGAUAGUAUUCCAACCUAGUUCUCACUCUCUAUAUAUAUAAUGCAUCAAAAUUAAAAAUAUAAAAUUGAAUUUGCGCUUUUGAGGCGAGUAAAGCCAAAGAGGUUUACGAGUGCUUUUUGGAAAAGCUCCUUUAAUUAAGCAAAAUAAGCCGUGAUCAAGCAGUGAGCUCUCCCUUAAUUAAAUGUGUUUGCAGUGGAAGAGGCCAUGAAUAGUCGAUAUCCCUGUAACCCUAUUGCAAGACCCAAACAAUGAGCCUCCACAGUGACCUCAACAAGAAAACAAAAACCCCUAAUAAAUGCUCGUGAUGCUUUUGAGCUUUCCAACGAAUCAUCAUCUGUUGAAACAUCACAUUCCAUCUCUCCAUCAGUCAAACAGGGACUUAAAUACUCGCCCAUCAAAUAAUAUAAAUAAAUAAUAAAUAAAUAUAUAUAUAUAAAGGACUUAGGUUUUUUCACUUCUUAACUUUUGGAUCAAGGACAGUAUAAUUAGAAUGAUAGUAGACCCCUAUAUAAGGUUGAGUUAAUAAUUUGAAACAACCAACUCUUUUAUAUUUUCGAAAAAAUCAUAGUAGAAUAUAUAUAUAUAUAUAUAUAUAUAUAUGUAUAUAGGCCAAUUUGCAUAAAAAAUCCACUUAUUUUGGGAUUUUGCAAAACCGGGCCACCUUUUUCCUUUUUGCAGAUUCGGUCCGCUUUUUCCGCCGCCUGACCAAAAUGCCCCUCCUAUACAAUAGCCUCCCGCGUAUUUCUUGACAUACGUAUACUACCCUGCCGUACGUUCUGGCGCGCAUUAAAUGACCCGUUCAAUCUCAGUCAUUUCUCGGAACCCGGACAACAUCCGCCCCCGCUAUUCGCCGGCCCCGCUGUUUCCUGUUUGGCUUUAAUUCUUUAAUACAAUAAUUCACGAUAAAUGAGAAAAUAUGCACGGCCCGAGUAGGGAUAAUAGUGCAACGCAAAGUGAAACGUCCGAAAAAAUGGUACAACUGCCAUUAUAACAGUGCAUCGCUAGGUCGCACCAGUGCAACCUCUCCAAAAUCAGUCAAAAUUUUACUUUCUCUAUUCCUUAAUAUAAUCUCAACNNNNNNNNNNNNNNNNNNNNNNNNNNNNNNNNNNNNNNNNNNNNNNNNNNNNNNNNNNNNNNNNNNGAAAUUAAGAAGUGAAGACUCCGCUCGGAUAACCUCUCCAACGAACCCUUAUAAGUAGUACGAGUCUUUUCAAAAUAUUGCACUGGUUUACCAACCUUAUUGCACUUUCGUUGCACAUGUUUUAAAUCGAUUGCACUAUUAUUUAUACCCAUCUCCAUGAACGAACAUCAUACCACAUAUUAUCCUUGCACUUACGAUCUGCUUUGAAAAUUAUUGUAUCUUGGUUGUGUUUAUACACGACCUGCAACUAACAACAGCGGCUUCAUUAUUAUUUUGAGGAUAUUAUUUUGUUUAUGUUAAUGUUAAUACUACUAUUUCUAAGGUCUAUGUCUGUUAAAGGUAAUAUGUCAACAACCACGUGCUAUGUAGAAUGCGUUCAUAUAUUCUGUCGAAGCCUUUUCAUGCGUUAUAAAACCUGACUUUCGGUAAGAACAGUUUGUACAAUCGUCCAUAGGGACCCCUAUGUAACGCUCUCGGAAAAGCUCCUGCGCGCGGGCGACCUCCAGCGCCGCCGCCGUGCUUCUCUGCUUGCCUGACUCUUAGUCGCUACAUAUGUCGCCGACUCAUUGCGAUACCCGCAGCAACGUCCUGACCCCGACAGCUUCGUCUUCAUUGGAAUGGUAGCCCGUAUAAUUUGCAGAUACUAUGUUAGACUCUCUCUCUCUCUCUCUCUCUCUCUCUCUCUAUAUAUAUAUAUAUAUAUAUAUAUAUAUAUAUAUUGAGAGAGAGAGAGAGAGAGAGUUCAGCUACUAUAUUCUUAUGAGUAUAGUUCUUUUUGCACUCAUAAAUUUUCGGACGUUAGAUCUAUCAUUUUGAUUAUUUUUAUCCGUUUCAUCAUACUAUUCAACCAGUCACUCAUUUAACUUUAGGAAACUACUAUUAUUCUAAUCGAAGACUAUUAUUAUCCUAAUCGCACAUUCUUUUAUCUAACAGCAAAAAAUUUAUAAAUACAAAAUAGUUUAUACUCAUAAGAGUAUAAUAGCUCUACUAUAUAUAUAUAUAUAUAUAUAUAUAUAUAUAUAGGGCUAGAAUACUUUUACAAGUAUCACCCAAGUGAUACUUGUGUGUUUUUAGCCCUUGGAUGGAGAGAUGUGAGGUUGAGAUGAUGGUGGUAGGUGGUGGUAGGUGGAAUAGUAUUUGAUCCAAGGGCUAUGUGUAAUCAAAAAGUAAAUCCAAUGGCUAAAAACGUGAUAGCAACAUGGGGAUGAUACUUGUAAAAGUAUCCUAGAUCAAC